UACGUAGGGUCCGAGCGUUGUCCGGAAUUAUUGGGCGUAAAGGGCUCGUAGGCGGUUUGUCGCGUCGGGAGUGAAAACACGGGGCUUAACCCCGUGCCUGCUUCCGAUACGGGCAGACUAGAGGUAUGCAGGGGAGAACGGAAUUCCUGGUGUAGCGGUGAAAUGCGCAGAUAUCAGGAAGAACACCCGUGGCGAAGGCGGCUCUCUGGGACGGUACUGACGCUGAGACGCGAAAGCGUGGGGAGCGAACAGG
This 253-nucleotide ribosomal RNA is filed under the name uncultured bacterium. RNAcentral's name for it is "partial 16S ribosomal RNA". It matches the Rfam family "Bacterial small subunit ribosomal RNA", at positions 524 to 776 of the family's 1533-position model. The record is from RNAcentral.